UUUUUAGUGUAAGUAUGUCCCAUACCUUAUUUGGGACAUACUUAUACUAAAA
Non-coding RNA from Equus caballus (horse), 52 nucleotides. NCBI's taxonomy places the organism in Eukaryota, Metazoa, Chordata, Mammalia, Perissodactyla, Equidae. The record is from Rfam.